RNAcentral lists this ribosomal RNA (573 nucleotides) under uncultured rumen bacterium. Its description in RNAcentral is "bacterial SSU rRNA". It matches the Rfam family "Bacterial small subunit ribosomal RNA", at positions 347 to 916 of the family's 1533-position model. The record is from RNAcentral.
GGCAGCAGCUAAGAAUAUUCCACAAUGGACGGACGUCUGAUGGAGCGACGCCGCGUGCGCGAUGAAGGCCGUGAGGUUGUAAAGCGCUUUUCUUGAGGGGGAACAACACAUCCAGGGAAUGGGAUGUGGAUGACGUGAAUCGAGGAAUAAGCCCCGGCUAACUACGUGCCAGCAGCCGCGGUAACACGUAGGGGGCGAGCGUUGUUCGGAAUCAUUGGGCGUAAAGGGCGCGCAGGCGGCCCGGUAAGUCUGGUGUAAAAUGGUCGUGCUCAACACGAUCAUGCGCUGGAAACUGUCGGGCUAGAGUCAACGAGGGGAUGCCGGAAUUCCAGGUGUAGGGGUGAAAUCUGUAGAUAUCUGGAAGAACACCGAUGGCGAAGGCAGGCAUCUGGCGACUGACUGACGCUGAGGCGCGAAGGUGCGGGGAGCAAACAGGUUUAGAUACCCUGGUAGUCCGCACAGUAAACGAUGUGCACCAGGUGGCGGGCAGCAGUGCUCGGUACCGAAGCAAACGCAUUAAGUGCACCGCCUGGGGAGUAUGCCCGCAAGGGUGAAACUCAAAGGAAUUGACGG